Molecule: ribosomal RNA, 253 nt
Filed under: uncultured bacterium
Lineage: Bacteria
Description: partial 16S ribosomal RNA
Rfam family: Bacterial small subunit ribosomal RNA
Source: RNAcentral
UACAGGGGGUGCAAACGUUGCCCGGAAUUAUUGGGCGUAAAGCGCGCGUAGGCGGCCACUUAAGUCGGAUGUGAAAGCCCCUGGCUCAACUGGGGAAGUGCACCCGAAACUGAAUGGCUUGAAUGCAAAAGAGGGUCGCGGAAUUCCCGGUGUAGAGGUGAAAUUCGUAGAUAUCGGGAGGAACACCGGUGGCGAAGGCGGCGACCUGGGUAGAUACUGACGCUGAGGCGCGAAAGCGUGGGGAGCAAACAGG